Molecule: ribosomal RNA, 520 nt
Filed under: uncultured Glomus
Lineage: Eukaryota; Fungi; Glomeromycota; Glomeromycetes; Glomerales; Glomeraceae
Description: SSU rRNA
Rfam family: Eukaryotic small subunit ribosomal RNA
Source: RNAcentral
AGCAGCCGCGGUAAUUCCAGCUCCAAUAGCGUAUAUUAAAGUUGUUGCAGUUAAAAAGCUCGUAGUUGAAUUUCGGAAUCAAUAUGUCGGUCGUGCCUUGGUACGUACUGGUAUCGUUGGUUUCUCCUUUCUGACGAACCAUGAUGUCAUUAAUUUGGUGUUAUGGGAAGUUAGGACUGUUACUUUGAAAAAAUUAGAGUGUUUAAAGCAGGCUUUGGCUUGAAUACAUUAGCAUGGAAUAAUGAAAUAGGACGUUCGAACCUAUUUUGUUGGUUUCUAGGAUCAACGUAAUGAUUAAUAGGGAUAGUUGGGGGCAUUAGUAUUCAAUUGUCAGAGGUGAAAUUCUUGGAUUUAUUGAAGACUAACUACUGCGAAAGCAUUUGCCAAGGAUGUUUUCAUUAAUCAAGAACGAAAGUUAGGGGAUCGAAGACGAUCAGAUACCGUCGUAGUCUUAACCAUAAACUAUGCCGACUAGGGAUCGGAUGAUGUUAAUUUUUAAUGACUCAUUCGGCGCCUUACG